Cygnus olor (mute swan) is the source of this 3507-nucleotide long non-coding RNA. RefSeq lists it as uncharacterized. Lineage: Eukaryota; Metazoa; Chordata; Aves; Anseriformes; Anatidae. The record is from RefSeq and is a predicted model, not a curated record. The transcript is spliced from 4 exons.
UUCACAUUUUUGCACUCCUAUGGAUGUUUCACAGCUGCCGAAGCCUCACAUUAAUGUACUGCCUCUCCUUGUCCCAGUGUUAUCCAUCAUCGCACCGCUGCUCCCACUCUCCAUUGCUUAUGCACUGUCAGUACUGCCAGCCAGCGUGUCCUAUCUGUCUACUUUUUCUGUAAUUAUCACAUCUUUCCCUCCCACUGCUCUCAGACUGCUUCAGCAAGCAAUCAGACCCGUCCUGCUCCGCUCAUACACACUGCAGCAGGGCGAGGAGCACGGAAGGGCAGGAAGAGGAGAGCAGCGCCGUGUGGGGCAGAGAUGAGGCAGGAAAAGGGACAGCUGGAAGGAGUAGGAUUGUUUGUGAUCUUUAAAAACAUGAGGAGGUCUUCAUACCUAGCAAGGUCUAAUGACACUCUCGGUCCUUCCUGCUGUUUUGCUGAAGCACACGGCUGUAGCUCAGAAAUAGAAACAAGCAAUUUUGCCUUGGGCAACAACCUGUGGUUGUUUCCUCUGCCAUGCGUAGCAGCUCAGCCUUGUGGUUCCACUGGGACUGUGUUUUUUGUACAGCUUCUGACUUCGGGCAAUGAAAUAUGAGGUGCCGUGGCAGUGGCAGGGAUACAGUUACAUCAAAACUUCCUUUCACACUUCACUACUGGCCUGGAUUUUGAUUUUAGAUUUUUUAAUUCCUCUACCCUACAAGGUUCAUCCAGUUUUGAAUUGGCCUCAUUUGGGUCAAUUUCUAUAAUAAUGAGCCCCUCUGCUGUCUGCUGGGCUGUCUGAUGAGUGCUGUGGGCUAAGUUCGUUAUGCUCUGCUCUCUGCAAGGAUGCUUUUUUCUCCCUGCCCAGACUAUGCCUUAUCAUUUCUUGCAUCUGACUGAAUUUCUAAGGCGCAUCCUGGUGGCUGUGUAAUCACAGAGGUGCUCCAGUGUGGGAACCUGGCUCAUGGGAGCACUCUGCUUGGCGCAGCUCAUGGUGAACUCCAACUGGAUGAGAAAGCAAAGGGAGCACUCACCAGCAGGGCAAAAGGUUUGCAAGAGCUAUCUGGUGUGCUGCCAUCACCUUCCCCUGAUAGGCACAGCCUGUCUCCAUCAGAGAGGCAUGAAGGCUGUGUCUUGAGUCAUCUUGAGUUAGCAUCUGUCUUCCAAAUACUGUCCUGCUUCUAGUCCAAACCUAGUUAGUGCACCAAGUGUAUUCAAUACCCAAUAAGUAGCACCAGAGUUUGGCUGUCAGAGAUGCUGAUUGCAAAAGGCUUCACCUGGUAAAGAAUUGCUCAGUUAGUUCACUAGCUGUUUUGAAGUAACAGAGAAUAGUGAAAGAUCAAAUGUGGGGCAUAGGUUGCCUCCUCUGGAGUGACAAAUUAGAGUCUAAAAGGCAGCACACAGUGUGUUACGUGAUGUUUCCAGCCAGAGUCCUGGGUCUCUCAGCUAACAAGUGGAAGCGUCAUGGGCUUUACCGCAGCAGAAGAGAAGGGGUGGAAACUCCAGGAGCUCCCUCAGGACAGCGUUUCUGUUGCCUCUUGAACAUGGGAGACUCAGCUCCCACGUGGAGGGACAGCUCCUAAUGCCUCACUAGGUAGCAAUGAUGUCUCCUCUUCAUCUGUGUCAUCCGCUAUAUUACAGAGAUUGGCUACCCAGAUGCUCAUACAGAUGCUGUAGCUCCAGAGCAUUUACAAGAGGCAAAGAGUGACUUAACAGCUUCAAUUAGCUUCUAGAAAAGAUUGCACAGUGCUUAAGGUAUGCCAAAAAGGCAGUGUGUGACUCCUCUGACAAAGCAAUGCUGCAGCUCCUUGUGAUGCUUUAGCCUCCUGCAGUGCCAGAUGUAGCUAGUGUUUUACUAUUUCUUUCUUCAAAUAGCAGUGCUCAGGGGGGAUAAACUUUACUUAACCUAAUUAAUUUUAAUCACAGCUUUCAAAUCUCAUACUGUGCAAAGAAUUACAAAUUGGAAUACAUUAAUAGAACCCAUGGUUUAUGCUGCAAGCUAAUCGGAAAGUGUGCAUUUACAUUUUCUGCAUGAGUUUGCAAUUACCAUUAAAAUAAAAUUCAGUUAUGUCCUUUUAAAUUACUAAAAUGUGAAGAACAGAUUGAGCUGGUCCCAUUUGUUGUAGAAAAUGACUUGAAAAUGGCCUACAUUUCAAAGAAUUAAAUGAUUCUUCCUGAAUAAGAGGUUUUAGAAAAUGACUUCCAGUUGUCUAGAGUUAAGGUGCUUCCAGGCAUUCUGGUUUAAACAAUCUUUCUUUUACAAUAAUGGAUUGCUUAAUGUUUCCUACCUGCUUCGGUACGGAUUUGUGGAAGGAACAAGGAGGGUUCUCUCACAAAGUCAGCAACGACUAACAACCUUUAGGUGUAAGCUGGAGAAAUAACAACUCAAAUGCCCACGUCCAAAACCCAACGCUGAGCACUGAGAAGCAGUUCAGAAAAUUUACUUCCCAAUGGAGGGGUUUCUCAUCUGACGAAUGUGGGGAGGAAUAUGCCCAAAUCCUACAGCCCAGCAGCUUUGGGGUUUCAUUAUGAACACAAAACUCCCCAAGGUGUACCAUAAUUUUGGUAGGGCCAGGUUGAAAAUUUUAUACAUACCCAAUGAUUUGGAAGCCUGUGUCUCAUUUAAAAUUGGCAAUGGUAUACAUAGGAAAGGUUAAUCCCCUCAGCCAGUGGUGGUGACCUGAGCCCAUUCCCCAGCACCUGGCUGUGGGAUUUUUGGGCCACUCUUUUGCAAAGUCCACUUUUGUAACUAUGUGAUUAUACAGGAAGGUUAGGUGCCAAAUUUCUGUGGCCUGUGUCACCUUGAGUCCAAGGGCUUCAAUUUUGGGAUGCCAGUGACUACAGAAGGAGUCAAAAAAGAAGUGGUCUUGGCCUUGCUCACCCAUGCCAAAAACAGCAGAUUUUUUUUUUUUUUUUUACAGGACUGUGAUGCCACAUCAAAAUGAUGUGGCUGACUAUCUCCUAUUCUCAAAAGCACUUUUGAACUUUUAGGAAACCAAGUCCCAUUCACUUCAGUGGAACCCAGGUUUCAAGGAGCCAAGAACCCCCCCCGAGCAUGCAACUCAGACACCUUAUUCAUUUGGCUCUUUUGAAAAAAAUGUUACUUCAGUGGAAACAACCUCAUUUUGAAGAAAAGUUGAAUUGCUCCCAAAAGGAUCAUUGUCUUCAGGAAUGUAGUCUAUGUUACAGUGUGACAGGGCCCCAAACAGUUUUUAAUAUAAAGUUUGGCAUUGUAUUAUAAUGACAGUGUUCAAGAUGGUACAGUAGUGUUUGUAUUUGUUUUUCAGCACAAUCCCCUGCAACUUAUUUAUGUGUUUUUUUUAAAUUCAAAAUCAUGCAAUGCAAGUGGUGCAAAAAUAAAGAGGAAAACCACAGUCUCAUAGUUCUUUGUACAGACACAGAAACAGCUUACUCCUUUGUAUAGCUAAAAGGUCAAAAUGCAUUGCUUUUGGGAAAACAUAAGCAGAUGUAUAUAUUAUAGAUGAUAACCUUUAGCUAAGUUGUAAGCCUAGUGCUUAUUAAAUAAUUGAUAGUA